RNAcentral lists this long non-coding RNA (1275 nucleotides) under Piliocolobus tephrosceles (Ugandan red Colobus). RNAcentral describes it as "lncRNA (ENSPTEG00000018141.1)". Lineage: Eukaryota; Metazoa; Chordata; Mammalia; Primates; Cercopithecidae. The record is from RNAcentral.
UAUAUAUAUAUAUAUAUAUAUAUAUAUAUGUAUAUGUAUAUUGAUAUGUAUUAGUGUGCACCUUUUGUGUUGUUAUCUUAAGCAUGAAUAAAACUAUUUUAACAUUAACACGGAAUGUUUUUUUUAAUCGAAAAUUCUUCGACACAAUUUGUAAAAAAUAUGACUUUCGACUCGCUCCAAAAAAUUAUUAUAUUACUACCGAGAGUAGUACGGAAAACCUAGACGUUAAAAUUAAGAACAUAAAUUCGUUAAAAUUAAAAAGUAGCAAAAAAAAUAAAAAUGGUUUGAAAGAUAGUACUAACAGUACUAGCAUUAACAACACUAGCAUUAACAAUACUAACAGUCAUAACACUAACAGUCAUAACACUAACAGUCACAGUAAUUACAAUAGAGAUGAUGUAUACAUUUUAAAUGGAAAAAUAUUAUAUUCACAAAAAAAUAAAAUAGAAAAAAAUGAAUUUAAAAUAAGAACUGGUAUUAAAAAAAUAAAAAAUAUAGACAACGAAAGUAAAUUAUUAAAUAAAAAGUUAAGUGGUAAUUUAAAAAAAAAUAAUUUUACAAAGUUAUCAGAUAAGCAAAUUAAAUCAGGUGGUAGUAUAAAAAUAGCACCGAGUAAAAAUGAUUAUUAUAAUGUAAACAAGGAAAGUGUUGGAAGAAUUAGUGACAUUAUUGGAACCACCAACAGUAACAUUAACAGUAACACUAACAUUAACCAUGAUAAUAUUAAUACAACCGAUAAAAUAAAAAGUAACAAAAACGAAACUACUUUCGUUAUACCCACUAUAAAUAACUUAAACAGUAUAUGUAAUGAUAAAAAGGUAGAUGUACGUUUUUUUAAUUCUACUAAAAAAAAUAAUGAAAAAUUAAAUAAUCCUACUAUGUUAAAUGAAACGAACGAAAAUUUUAUUAAAGAAACGGAUAAAACCAAAGAUACGAAUAAAUUAGGAGUUGUAAAUGAAAAAAGUGAUAAUAAAGAAGGAGACACAGAAAAAAAACAACAAAAAAGUAAUGAAAAGAGUAAUGGAGAGAGGAGUGAACAGAGUAAUGGAGAGAGGAGUGAACAGAGUAAUGGAGAGCAGAGUGAAAAGGGUAAUACUAACAUAUCAAAUAAUAAACAAAACAAUUCUAAUAUUUCAAGUGAAGUAAAUCAAAUAUUACAUAACACUCGUUCAAACAUAAACAAUAAUACAAAUAAUAAAAAAAAUGAUGAUAACGACGGGAAAGAAGAUGACAGUUGUAUUAAACAAGAUAUAUACGAAAUGAUUGAAGAGAUUA